RNAcentral lists this ribosomal RNA (837 nucleotides) under uncultured bacterium. Its description in RNAcentral is "bacterial SSU rRNA". It matches the Rfam family "Bacterial small subunit ribosomal RNA", at positions 59 to 862 of the family's 1533-position model. The record is from RNAcentral.
CAGUCGAGCGAGCGGAACCAACAGAUUUACUUCGGUAAUGACGUUGGGAAAGCGAGCGGCGGAUGGGUGAGUAACACGUGGGGAACCUGCCCCUAAGUCUGGGAUACCAUUUGGAAACAGGUGCUAAUACCGGAUAAUAAAGCAGAUCGCAUGAUCAGCUUUUGAAAGGCGGCGUAAGCUGUCGCUAAGGGAUGGCCCCGCGGUGCAUUAGCUAGUUGGUAAGGUAACGGCUUACCAAGGCGACGAUGCAUAGCCGAGUUGAGAGACUGAUCGGCCACAUUGGGACUGAGACACGGCCCAAACUCCUACGGGAGGCAGCAGUAGGGAAUCUUCCACAAUGGACGCAAGUCUGAUGGAGCAACGCCGCGUGAGUGAAGAAGGUUUUCGGAUCGUAAAGCUCUGUUGUUGGUGAAGAAGGAUAGAGGUAGUAACUGGCCUUUAUUUGACGGUAAUCAACCAGAAAGUCACGGCUAACUACGUGCCAGCAGCCGCGGUAAUACGUAGGUGGCAAGCGUUGUCCGGAUUUAUUGGGCGUAAAGCGAGCGCAGGCGGAAAAAUAAGUCUAAUGUGAAAGCCCUCGGCUUAACCGAGGAACUGCAUCGGAAACUGUUUUUCUUGAGUGCAGAAGAGGAGAGUGGAACUCCAUGUGUAGCGGUGGAAUGCGUAGAUAUAUGGAAGAACACCAGUGGCGAAGGCGGCUCUCUGGUCUGCAACUGACGCUGAGGCUCGAAAGCAUGGGUAGCGAACAGGAUUAGAUACCCUGGUAGUCCAUGCCGUANACGAUGAGUGCUAAGUGUUGGGAGGUUUCCGCCUCUCAGUGCUGCAGCUAACGCAUUA